Molecule: long non-coding RNA, 382 nt
Filed under: Cavia porcellus (domestic guinea pig)
Lineage: Eukaryota; Metazoa; Chordata; Mammalia; Rodentia; Caviidae
Description: lncRNA (ENSCPOG00000031152.1)
Source: RNAcentral
GCCUUUUUAAUUUUUGAAUCAUCUAAAAUAUGAAGCACGUACAGACGAAGACCCAGAGACUGAGGCGUCCCAGGUUCUGCAUUCGAGGCCACAUCGGAUCCGAAGCCUACAGAGUACGAGGGGAAACUCACCUCCAAUUUUCACUGCAAUCCCGGGAAGUUUUUAAAAGAAUUUAGAACAUUAGAGCUUUUCUGUCUUAACAUGAGCCUCCUUGUUAUGCCGACAUCCACCUCAAAGAACUCCUUUUGUUAAUUAAAAAGUUAUUUUAGAGUCUUCUCUCGCUCUCCUUCCUCUCAGACAUGGUGACUGAUUUCAGUGGACUUGAAAUCAAAUUUUUGCAAUGUGGAUUUUUCACACUGCAGUUCCCCAUUUUCACCACAAG